RNAcentral lists this ribosomal RNA (874 nucleotides) under uncultured marine group I thaumarchaeote. RNAcentral's name for it is "bacterial SSU rRNA". It matches the Rfam family "Archaeal small subunit ribosomal RNA", at positions 23 to 903 of the family's 1478-position model. The record is from RNAcentral. Lineage: Archaea; Thermoproteati; Nitrososphaerota.
CUGACUGCUAUCGGAUUGAUACUAAGCCAUGCGAGUCAUUGUAGUAAUACAAGGCAGACGGCUCAGUAACGCGUAGUCAACCUAACCUAUGGACGGGAAUAACCUCGGGAAACUGAGUAUAAUGCCCGAUAGAACAUUAUGCCUGGAAUGGUUUAUGUUCCAAAUGAUUUAUCGCCGUAGGGUGGGACUGCGGCCUAUCAGUUUGUUGGUGAGGUAAUGGCCCACCAAGACUAUUACAGGUACGGGCUCUGAGAGGAGUGGCCCGGAGAUGGGUACUGAGACACGGACCCAGGCCCUAUGGGGCGCAGCAGGCGAGAAAACUUUGCAAUGUGCGAAAGCACGACAAGGUUAAUCCGAGUGGUUUCUGCUAAAGGAACCUUUUGUCGGUCCUAGAAACACCGAUGAAUAAGGGGUGGGCAAGUUCUGGUGUCAGCCGCCGCGGUAAAACCAGCACCUCAAAUGGUCAGGAUGAUUAUUGGGCCUAAAGCAUCCGUAGCCGGCUUUGUUAGUUUUCGGUUAAAUCUGUACGCUUAACGUACAGGCUGCCGGGAAUACUGCAGAGCUAGGGAGUGGGAGAGGUAGACGGUACUCGGUAGGAAGGGGUAAAAUCCUUUGAUCUAUUGAUGACCACCUGUGGCGAAGGCGGUCUACCAGAACACGUCCGACGGUGAGGGAUGAAAGCUGGGGGAGCAAACCGGAUUAGAUACCCGGGUAGUCCCAGCUGUAAACUAUGCAAACUCAGUGAUGCAUUGGCUUGUGGCCACUGCAGUGCUGCAGGGAAGCCGUUAAGUUUGCCGCCUGGGAAGUACGUACGCAAGUAUGAAACUUAAAGGAAUUGGCGGGGGAGCACCACAAGGGGUGAAGCCUGCGGUUC